Molecule: ribosomal RNA, 253 nt
Filed under: uncultured bacterium
Lineage: Bacteria
Description: partial 16S ribosomal RNA
Rfam family: Bacterial small subunit ribosomal RNA
Source: RNAcentral
UACAGAGGGGGCUAGCGUUAUUCGGAAUUAUUGGGCGUAAAGGGCGCGUAGGCGGCCUUGCGUGUCCUUCGUGAAAUCCCUCGGCUUAACUGAGGACGUGCGGAAGAAACUGCAGGGCUCGAGUCCGGGAGAGGGGGGUGGAAUUCCCAGUGUAGCGGUGAAAUGCGUAGAUAUUGGGAGGAACACCGGUGGCGAAGGCGGCCCCCUGGACCGGUACUGACGCUGAGGUGCGAAAGCGUGGGGAGCAAACGGG